Non-coding RNA from Pelobates cultripes (western spadefoot toad), 318 nucleotides. NCBI's taxonomy places the organism in Eukaryota, Metazoa, Chordata, Amphibia, Anura, Pelobatidae. The record is from the annotation of a GenBank genome assembly.
CACAGAAACACACACCUUGCAUCCCUUACACAUACAAACACAGAUUUACACAAUGCAUCCCUUACACACAAACACACACUGAAUCCCCUAUACACACACACACUACAUCCUUUACACAAACUGGUAUCCCUCUACACUACAUUCCAUAAGAACACACUCACAUUACAUCCUCUACAAUAACACAUCCCCUACACACAUACACUCCACUCCCUGUGAGCAAACUCAUGGGUGGGCCUUGAAGGCAUAAGGCUUAUGGGCGGGCCUUGUAGACAUACUCACGGUCAGGCCCUGUAAGGGCCCCAAAAAAAUGGAGCUGGG